UGAGAAGCGGAGCAGCAGCGGCUGCCUCAGGUGCGCAGAGCAACGCGCUCCUUCCCGUUCCCCCACACCGGCUUCGGCCUUCUCACGGGCUGUCAAAAAUGGUGAAAGAAACCACUUACUAUGAUGUUUUGGGAGUCAAACCCAAUGCCACCC
Long non-coding RNA from Hipposideros armiger (great roundleaf bat), 153 nucleotides. RefSeq lists it as uncharacterized. The transcript is spliced from 2 exons. The record is from RefSeq and is a predicted model, not a curated record. NCBI's taxonomy places the organism in Eukaryota, Metazoa, Chordata, Mammalia, Chiroptera, Hipposideridae.